Molecule: ribosomal RNA, 562 nt
Filed under: Felis catus (domestic cat)
Lineage: Eukaryota; Metazoa; Chordata; Mammalia; Carnivora; Felidae
Description: partial 16S ribosomal RNA
Source: RNAcentral
GUUGCCCAGAACAGAAUCUUAGUUCAACUUUAAACUUACCUCAAAAACCUAAAAUUCCAAUGUAAGUUUAAAAUAUAGUCUAAAAAGGUACAGCUUUUUAGACCUAGGAUACAGCCUUUAUUAGAGAGUAAGCAUAAAUAUAAACCAUAGUUGGCCUAAAAGCAGCCAUCAAUUAAGAAAGCGUUCAAGCUCAACAAUCAAAGCAUCUUAAUGUCAAAAAUAAUGCAACCAACUCCUAACCUAAAACUGGGCUAAUCUAUUUAAUAAUAGAAGCAAUAAUGCUAAUAUGAGUAACAAGAAAUAUUUCUCCCUGCAUAAGCUUAUAUCAGAACGGAUAACCACUGAUAGUUAACAACAAGAUAUAUAUAACCUAACCAUAAACAAAAUAUCAAAUUAAUUGUUAACCCAACACAGGUAUGCAAAUUAGGGAAAGAUUAAAAGAAGUAAAAGGAACUCGGCAAACACAAGCCCCGCCUGUUUACCAAAAACAUCACCUCUAGCAUUUCUAGUAUUAGAGGCACUGCCUGCCCGGUGACGCUAGUUAAACGGCCGCGGUAUCCUG